This 122-nucleotide small RNA is filed under the name Rhizobium sp. LC145. Its description in RNAcentral is "Alphaproteobacterial ar14". It matches the Rfam family "Alphaproteobacterial ar14". From Rfam's summary of the family: Smr14C2 was renamed NfeR1 (Nodule Formation Efficiency RNA) highly expressed in salt stress and during the symbiotic interaction on legume roots. The record is from Rfam by way of RNAcentral. Lineage: Bacteria; Pseudomonadati; Pseudomonadota; Alphaproteobacteria; Hyphomicrobiales; Rhizobiaceae.
AAGCAUCGAAGGGCGCACUCCUCCUCCCAGCGCCUCUCGACGGGACUGACAACACCUCCUCCUCCCGGUUGUCAGUCAGUUUCAGAAACCCGGCGCACCUCCUCCCGCGCCGGGUUUUCUGU